UAUCUUUUUUGUCAAAUUUUAGCCUUUUGCAAAUUUACACAAAUAUAAAUAAACAGUGUCCCUCACUUUAAAGUUUACCGAAGCGUCGCUUUUCUUUUCCUGGCUUAACUAUCCGUUGUCCUUCCCCUGUCAAACGUUACUCUCCCUUCCUCCAAUUAACGCCUCUCUUUAUUUACCCUACUCUCAUCGUUCCUCUUGAAUAUGCGUCAUCAAAAUCAGGACGAGAUGAAGCGAAAGACUGUCAAAAAAUUCCUCAAACAACUUACUCAAUUGGGUUCUUCUAUGUGAUCUCUAUGGGAUAUUUGCACAGGUCAGUGUACAAUCUAUAUAUCUGUAUAAUUGGGGGAUAUUGGCAUGGUGAUGUGACAUGACUCACUUACCAUGAGUGUCCUUUAUCUUUUUCCACGAUAAAAAAAAACAAAACCCUUCGCAUAAUAACAUAACACCAAUAUAAAUUAACUAUUUUUUUUAAGAAUUUAAGAACGGGCAGAAAUAUAGUUACGUAUUUGGUAACACAAUCAAUUGUCAUGUACUACUUGAAGUCGGGUUUUUUUAAUCAACUUGUAUGGGAGUCGUAGUGUAAGUAAAUGAAAGAAACAGCAGGAAUUCGUCAUGGAAAAGUUGAUGUGUUAAAAGAUAAAAGUAGUGGUUGAGAAUAGAUAAACAACAUACCUGCCAGGGUUGAAGGGGUUUUGUGAGCCUUGAAGAAGAAUUUCAAAGUGAGGAGGGAUUCUGAAGGUUGUUGGGGAAAUAAGGCAAAGUUUAUUUGCAGAUUUUGAUAUGAAGUGUAACAACAGAUUUCAAAAUCGAUUACCGUAUAAAUCGAAAAGGACGCAGGCGGAAGUAGGGCAUAGUAACAGUUCUUAGGUACUUCUUUACCAUGCUUUGAAUUUUUCUAAUAUUUUUGUCUCGAUCAUAAAAUUUCUAACUUGAUGUGAGAAUUGGCUAAGUUUAGACGCAAGAUUCAAGGCGUGCAAACUAUACCUGUUAUUACAAUCAGAAGAUUCAUUAGCAGGAUAAAUAAACCACAACAGGCUUGCCUUUGAACUUGGAGAGGCUCACAUCUUUUCUGUCUUUAUCUUUUAAUGUGAAUGGUAGAGACUCUGAACCUUUAUUCACCUUAGGAAAUAUGGAACUUUUAGUUAAGAAGAAGAAGAAGAAGGGGUUGUCGAACAAGGCGAGUAAAGGAGCACCACAAGCGAGAAAUUCAUGUGUAUGAUUUGAUUAUAUGCAUGUUUGUAGUGAUUUUAACAGUGUGUCGUUCUUCUUUUCUGUAUGUUAUUCAAUUUUUUUUUUUUUUGCUUUCUUGGCACUGAUAGUGGGAAUAUGAAACUAGACUUUGGACUUUUCUGCCUAUGUUUUUUUCACUUAUCUGGUUCUUGACAUUUUGUGUGCUUUUGGUGGGUAUGAAAGAAAGAUUGAAAUAGUAUCGUCCCAUCUGUUCGACACAAAUCUCCUACUGUAUAUGUUUUGGCUAUGUUCUCAUUAUCUCAUGUUAUUUACCGCUUCUCCAUCAUUUAAUCUGUGGUGCUUAUGUGUUUGUCAAUUUUUGUUUGCUGAUUUACCAUGGUGUUCAAUAGUUUUACUAUCAUCAUAAAAAAUGGAUUUUGAUGAUUUCAAGACAAUGAUUAGCUCUCCACAGAGGAUUGUUUUAGGGGUUUGGGCAUGGAUGCUAGAGAUCAAGAUUGUUGCUUUUUCUAUAUUGUUCCUUUUCUAUCUUUUAAAUUUAUUGUUUUCUUGCUACGAGUUUGUUCGAUUUCUUGAUUUUCUCUGCUAAUUAUUUACGUUCUCCCCUCAUUGCCAUCUUUAUUUUUCAUGCUACCCUUACUUGCUCUUUGAAUUUUUAGUCAAGUCCGUCUUUGAUUCACUCCGUCACUGUUAGAAGUGCAUUAAUGCAGAGUUGAAUCACAAUUCUUAACACUGGUGUGUUUACCAUAGAAGAUGGUCAACUUGGGUCACUGUUAUUAUUCCUUAAUUAUGCAGUAAUUUUAUGGCAACCGCCAUCUUGGGCUUAAUAGUGAGGAUCAAGCUUCUUUUCAGAUGCUCGAUAUCUACCCGGAUAAGUGGAAGGAAGUAAUUGAAGCAAAAAAGAGGACCAGGAGAAGAGAACUAGGUGUUGUGGGUAUUGUUGUAGUUUCUGCCUAAGCUGUCAUCAUUUAUCUUUAUUCAUGAUAUUUAAGUUAGUCUGGUUCAGUCAUUGGUAAUUGUUAAGGCAAGCAUACAUGUUAUCCAACUUAUUGAUAAAUUCCACCAGUGAAAUUUUUUGAUAUAGCCAGUGAUGUGUGAGCAACCUAUUCAUAUCACAUAGGAUGCCUCGGGUUAUUUCUUCAGCCCAUGUUUUUCAUGGAAAACCUCUAUUUGUUAAAGCUUUUGAUGUUACCAAAAUGUUAGAAUUUGUUAUGUGUAACAGUUUAAUAUUGAUGUCAAUUCUCUUAUAUAA
Long non-coding RNA from Lycium barbarum (goji berry), 2440 nucleotides. RefSeq lists it as uncharacterized. The record is from RefSeq and is a predicted model, not a curated record. The transcript is spliced from 3 exons. NCBI's taxonomy places the organism in Eukaryota, Viridiplantae, Streptophyta, Magnoliopsida, Solanales, Solanaceae.